GUGGGGAAUCUUGCGCAAUGGGCGAAAGCCUGACGCAGCCAUGCCGCGUGAAUGAUGAAGGUCUUAGGAUUGUAAAAUUCUUUCACCGGGGACGAUAAUGACGGUACCCGGAGAAGAAGCCCCGGCUAACUUCGUGCCAGCAGCCGCGGUAAUACGAAGGGGGCUAGCGUUGCUCGGAAUUACUGGGCGUAAAGGGCGCGUAGGCGGACAGUUUAGUCAGAGGUGAAAGCCCAGGGCUCAACCUUGGAAUUGCCUUUGAUACUGGCUGUCUUGAGUACGGGAGAGGUGAGUGGAACUCCGAGUGUAGAGGUGAAAUUCGUAGAUAUUCGGAGGAACACCAGUGGCGAAGGCGGCUCACUGGCUCGAUACUGACGCUGAGGUGCGAAAGCGUGGGGAGCAAACAGGAUUAGAUACCCCUGUAGUCC
This 425-nucleotide ribosomal RNA is filed under the name uncultured bacterium. Its description in RNAcentral is "partial 16S ribosomal RNA". It matches the Rfam family "Bacterial small subunit ribosomal RNA", at positions 354 to 796 of the family's 1533-position model. The record is from RNAcentral.